GGAUUCAUUUCCGGUCGUGUACUCGUGUCGAGGUCCUUUCUGGACUGAGAUGCGAACUGGAUCCGCGAACUGGAUUCGCGUGAACAGUGAACUGGCGUCCGGCAGCUGCCGGUGCUUGCGUCUCAGCGUCUAUUCGGUUGAGAAAUCAGAAUUCGUACUGAUCGGAGAGGUGAUCGCGUGAUUGAAAAUUGCCUGAUUAGAAUGCCGAGGCGAUAACACUGAUUUCCGUGACUUGUAUGGAUCCCGCCGAAGCCCUGAGCCGUGAGACCCCUUCGCCGCCCGCCGCCGGCUCCAUCCCCAUCGCUCCGCCCACCCCAGGCAGAAUGCAGGGCUAUGAAGUUGCUCAGGGAAGCCAGAGAGAAUGUGGGGAAUCUAGCGGAAGCAUAAUUGAACCAAUGAGCAACAUGCUCUUCAGCUCUAGACUUAGCACCAAUGUAUCGAAUGACUGACUGUGCAACAAGCUAAGGAGAGGCUUCAUCAGAGACUCAGAAGUGUGGAGUAAUUUCCAGGAAGAAGGAAAACAGUGUCAACUAUGGGCACUGGGGCAGGACCUAUCUUCCUUCCGAAGCUGAUAUAUGCAAAUAUAAGGAUGAGAGAUUGGAUAAAACCUAAUUAUUAGCUCGAACUCCAGCGCCUUCCUGCCAACCCAGAGGGUUAAAUAAACCAUAGCAGACUCUUUCAGUGAUAUGGAAGCUGCAGCACCGCAUCUGAGACCUGUCUCCAAAGUAGGACGAGAAACUCUGGAUGGAACAAUUGAAGGCGAUGACGUCGAGCCUUCUGUGGACUGCUCAAUAUGCCUGGAAAGAUGCAGUAGUGCUGCAGAAGGGCUGAUGCAGCUGCGGUGCAAGCAGGGCACAUCUUCCAUAAAGCCUGCGCGCCGAUUCCCCGUAUUGUAGGACCAGUGUUGUGGUAACGCAGAAAGGGUGACCUGGAAUAUUAGCAAUGACAGGUUACUGUGUUUUUGUUCUUGGUGUUUUAGGAGAACUUUCGUUUUGCAGGGCGAUCAGAUGUCGCUGUAGACGGCUUGAGCAAAUAGAACUGCCCCCUCACUGCAACUCGUAAGGCUACAAGUGGAUGUCGGAAUGCUGGACAUCAUGUAUGCAUGUAAAGGUGUUAAAACUUGUUUGCAUAGGAGCAACGAACGUGCUUGUUUCCUGUUAACAGUGUAGAGCUAAAACUUAGGGGCAAGCGUCUCUACAAAGUCUGUUGUAUACGUAUGCUACUGAUGUUGGACACAAAAUAGAACAUGGACAAAGCUAAGUGCCAGCCA
This is a long non-coding RNA of Brachypodium distachyon (stiff brome), 1270 nucleotides long. RefSeq lists it as uncharacterized. The transcript has 3 exons. NCBI's taxonomy places the organism in Eukaryota, Viridiplantae, Streptophyta, Magnoliopsida, Poales, Poaceae. The record is from RefSeq and is a predicted model, not a curated record.